This 705-nucleotide ribosomal RNA is filed under the name Bacillus cereus. Its description in RNAcentral is "bacterial SSU rRNA". It matches the Rfam family "Bacterial small subunit ribosomal RNA", at positions 31 to 715 of the family's 1533-position model. Lineage: Bacteria; Bacillati; Bacillota; Bacilli; Caryophanales; Bacillaceae. The record is from RNAcentral.
AGACGUUGGCGGCGUGCCUACUACUUGCACGUCGAGCGAAUGGAUUAAGAGCUUGCUCUUAUGAAGUUAGCGGCGGACGGGUGAGUAACACGUGGGUAACCUGCCCAUAAGACUGGGAUAACUCCGGGAAACCGGGGCUAAUACCGGAUAACAUUUUGAACCGCAUGGUUCGAAAUUGAAAGGCGGCUUCGGCUGUCACUUAUGGAUGGACCCGCGUCGCAUUAGCUAGUUGGUGAGGUAACGGCUCACCAAGGCAACGAUGCGUAGCCGACCUGAGAGGGUGAUCGGCCACACUGGGACUGAGACACGGCCCAGACUCCUACGGGAGGCAGCAGUAGGGAAUCUUCCGCAAUGGACGAAAGUCUGACGGAGCAACGCCGCGUGAGUGAUGAAGGCUUUCGGGUCGUAAAACUCUGUUGUUAGGGAAGAACAAGUGCUAGUUGAAUAAGCUGGCACCUUGACGGUACCUAACCAGAAAGCCACGGCUAACUACGUGCCAGCAGCCGCGGUAAUACGUAGGUGGCAAGCGUUAUCCGGAAUUAUUGGGCGUAAAGCGCGCGCAGGUGGUUUCUUAAGUCUGAUGUGAAAGCCCACGGCUCAACCGUGGAGGGUCAUUGCAAACUGGGAGACUUGAGUGCAGAAGAGGAAAGUGGAAUUCCAUGUGUAGCGGUGAAAUGCGUAGAGAUAUGGAAGGAACACCAGUUG